Molecule: ribosomal RNA, 253 nt
Filed under: uncultured bacterium
Lineage: Bacteria
Description: partial 16S ribosomal RNA
Rfam family: Bacterial small subunit ribosomal RNA
Source: RNAcentral
GACAGAGGGUGCAAACGUUGUUCGGAUUUACUGGGCGUAAAGCGCGUGUAGGCGGCUUUGCAAGUCGGAUGUGAAAGCCCACGGCUCAACCGUGGAAGUGCAUCCGAAACUGCAUGGCUGGAGUCUCGGAGAGGAAGGUGGAAUGCUUGGUGUAGAGGUGAAAUUCGUAGAUAUCAAGCAGAACACCUGCGGCGAAGGCGGCCUUCUGGACGAUGACUGACGCUGAGACGCGAAAGCGUGGGGAGCAACCAGG